UGUGGUUUGAUCUGGCUGUGGCAUCUGCACCCCUUUAAGCACCAGGGUGGAUUCAGCUGAUCUGGUGGGUUAGGCAUGUGUCCCCUCUUCCCUCACUGCUCUAUGUGCAUCCUUCUCAAAGCUUAUAAUUGGUGGAAGAGGAUGACGCUCUCUGAUAAAGGAGGACCAUUCUUCGGUCAACGGUACAUGAUAGCUGUGCCCCCUGCUAUAACCUCCAAACAAGCUCUCGACUAACUUUUUAUGUGGGGGAUCUGAUUGCUUUACCUGGGUGAUUCCCAACUGUCAGACUUUUCUCAAGAUGGCUGUUUCUCCAG
This is an unclassified non-coding RNA of Vulpes vulpes (red fox), 314 nucleotides long. Its record names the gene 7SK. It matches the Rfam family "7SK RNA". Rfam says of the family: 7SK was discovered as an abundant small nuclear RNA in the mid-70s but a possible function has only recently been suggested. Two independent studies have found that 7SK RNA binds the CDK9/cyclin T complex (known as elongation factor P-TEFb). The record is from Ensembl. NCBI's taxonomy places the organism in Eukaryota, Metazoa, Chordata, Mammalia, Carnivora, Canidae.